GACGAACGCUGGCGGCGUGCUUAACACAUGCAAGUCGAACGGAAAGGCCCUGCUUUUGUGGGGUGCUCGAGUGGCGAACGGGUGAGUAACACGUGAGUAACCUGCCCUUGACUUUGGGAUAACUUCAGGAAACUGGGGCUAAUACCGGAUAGGAUCUCCUGCUGCAUGGUGGGGGUUGGAAAGUUUCGGCGGUUGGGGAUGGACUCGCGGCUUAUCAGCUUGUUGGUGGGGUAGUGGCUUACCAAGGCUUUGACGGGUAGCCGGCCUGAGAGGGUGACCGGCGACAUUGGGACUGAGAUACGGCCCAGACUCCUACGGGAGGCAGAAGUGGGGAAUAUUGCACAAUGGGCGGAAGCCUGAUGCAGCAACGCCGCGUGCGGGAUGACGGCCUUCGGGUUGUAAACCGCUUUCGCCUGUGACGAAGCGUGAGUGACGGUAAUGGGUAAAGAAGCACCGGCUAACUACGUG
Molecule: ribosomal RNA, 468 nt
Filed under: uncultured bacterium
Lineage: Bacteria
Description: partial 16S ribosomal RNA
Rfam family: Bacterial small subunit ribosomal RNA
Source: RNAcentral